UACGUAGGGGGCAAGCGUUGUCCGGAUUUAUUGGGCGUAAAGAGCGUGUAGGCGGCCAGACAGGUCCGUUGUGAAAACUCGAGGCUCAACCUCGAGACGCCGAUGGAAACCGUCUGGCUAGAGUCCGGAAGAGGAGAGUGGAAUUCCUGGUGUAGCGGUGAAAUGCGCAGAUAUCAGGAAGAACACCCGUGGCUAAGGCGGCUCUCUAGUACGGUACUGACGCUGAGGCGCGAAAGCUAGGGGAGCAAACGGG
RNAcentral lists this ribosomal RNA (253 nucleotides) under uncultured bacterium. RNAcentral's name for it is "partial 16S ribosomal RNA". It matches the Rfam family "Bacterial small subunit ribosomal RNA", at positions 524 to 776 of the family's 1533-position model. The record is from RNAcentral.